UCAUUUUAUUCCAAAUACUGCUCUGGUAGAUUGUACAGCAGACUCUAAUGUUACAAGCUGUUACCAUGACUGGUUAUGUAAAGCGAUUCAUGUAAUCACUCCAAACAAAAAGGCCAAUUCGGGACUGCUCGAUAAGUACCUAAAGCUGAGAGCUCUUCAGCGACAAUCCUACACAUUACUUCUAUGAAGCAACUGUAGGAGCAGGUCUUCCAAUUGUUAGCACUUUACGGGGCCUCCUUGAAACUGGGGACAAAAUAUUGCGCAUUGAGGGCAUUUUCAGUGGCACUUUGAGUUAUAUUUUCAACAACUUCACCGGUACUAGAACCUUUAGUGAGGUGGUAGCAGAGGC
Hibiscus syriacus is the source of this 349-nucleotide long non-coding RNA. RefSeq lists it as uncharacterized. The record is from RefSeq and is a predicted model, not a curated record. Lineage: Eukaryota; Viridiplantae; Streptophyta; Magnoliopsida; Malvales; Malvaceae. The transcript has 3 exons.